RNAcentral lists this ribosomal RNA (449 nucleotides) under uncultured bacterium. Its description in RNAcentral is "partial 16S ribosomal RNA". It matches the Rfam family "Bacterial small subunit ribosomal RNA", at positions 29 to 523 of the family's 1533-position model. The record is from RNAcentral.
AACGAACGCUGGCGGCAUGCCUAAUACAUGCAAGUCGAACGAUCACUUCGGUGGUAGUGGCGCACGGGUGCGUAACGCGUGGGAAUCUGCCCUUGGGUUCGGAAUAACGUCGGGAAACUGACGCUAAUACCGGAUGAUGACGUAAGUCCAAAGAUUUAUCGCCCAGGGAUGAGCCCGCGUAGGAUUAGCUAGUUGGUGGGGUAAAGGCCUACCAAGGCGACGAUCCUUAGCUGGUCUGAGAGGAUGAUCAGACACACUGGGACUGAGACACGGCCCAGACUCCUACGGGAGGCAGCAGUAGGGAAUAUUUGACAAUGGGGGCAACCCUGAUCCAGCAAUGCCGCGUGAGUGAUGAAGGCCUUAGGGUUGUAAAGCUCUUUUACCCGGGAUGAUAAUGACAGUACCGGGAGAAUAAGCCCCGGCUAACUCCGUGCCAGCCGCCGCGGUAA